Non-coding RNA from Phrynosoma platyrhinos (Desert horned lizard), 74 nucleotides. The record is from the annotation of a GenBank genome assembly. Lineage: Eukaryota; Metazoa; Chordata; Lepidosauria; Squamata; Phrynosomatidae.
GAGCUGGUAUGGUUUAGUGGUUUGAGUGUUGGACUAUGACUGUGGAGAUCAGGGUUCAAAACCCUGCUGGGCCA